Molecule: ribosomal RNA, 253 nt
Filed under: uncultured bacterium
Lineage: Bacteria
Description: partial 16S ribosomal RNA
Rfam family: Bacterial small subunit ribosomal RNA
Source: RNAcentral
UACGGGGGGGGCAAGCGUUGUUCGGAAUUACUGGGCGUAAAGGGCUCGUAGGCGGCCAACUAAGUCAUACGUGAAAUCCCUAGGCUCAACCUAGGAACUGCACUCGAAACUUCUUUUCUUGAGUGCCGGAGAGGAAAGCGGAAUACCUGGUGUAGAGGUGAAAUUCGUAGAUAUCAGGUGGAACACCAGUGGCGAAGGCGGCUUUCUGGACGGUAACUGACGCUGAGACGCGAAAGCGUGGGGAGCAAACAGG